UUCACCAGUGGGUGUCAGUUUAUAUUUCCUUUGUAUUUAAAUAUUUUUAUGAAUAAUAUAUUCAAAACAUAGGCCAAUGUUACAUAUAAUUUAUCCUAUUUAUACAAUAUUUUCUGAUAACUUUAUAUUACAGCCACUGAUUGUGGUUCUGAUGCUCGGCUGUAACAAAAUACCAGAGACAAUAGGCUUUGAUUUCUCAAAAAAUAAUAGUGAAUUUGAGUUUUAUAGCCACAUCUCUUUACAGCGCAAUAUAAGCAAAUUAUAGAUAAUUAAAAUCGCUGGAAGCCAAAAAAGCCAGGUCCGAAAUGACCCAAGACUGCAAAACUACAAAAUGGUGAAGGAACAAAUCACAGCAAAUGCAAACAGCUCCAAAAACUACCAAAACACUGCCGUUAUAAAGAAAACCCACUCAACGAUAAAUUCGAUAUUAAGUCAGCGAUAAAUUCCAGAUUUGUGACAGAACAUUUUAAUUAAAGGAGGGAGUCACUUAAAACUUUUAACAGUGAUUAAACUGUUAAACCGACUAUUUCCUGUUUAAUCGUUUUAAUUUAGCAAACAACUGUUUGAUUUUAACAAAGGUUACGGGUUUUUCUUUCUGUAGGAGAAUCAAGGUAAUAAAUUCUGCAGCUUAAAAGGAGUCACCUUAGGUCAGCUGGUGGUCCUUCAGUGUGUCCUAGAACAAACUGCAUCGUGGCUGCAGAACUAAUGCAGAUAAAAGUGCUGCAGAGCACCACUGAAAGAGUUUGAAACAAGCUGUACUCAAUGCUUCUUGAGUGCACUCUUAACAGUAUUUAGUGCUGCUCUGCCAUGAUCACGCAGGACAGCUGUUAGUACCAGGUGUGAGUGAAGUUUAUGAGUGAAAGAGGGCAGUCAUAUUAAACCCUUGCCGUUCUGCUUUGAUUCAACAAGUCAACUGGAUUGGCAAGAAUUCAGGUGCAGACCUAAAGGUGGUACACUGAGUUACCUCCACAUCGUCGCGUACAACAAGACGUUCUAAUCACAUUCAUUCAGGAAGCCAGAGACAACAAGAGUUUCAGGAGAUACCAGAAAAGCUGAACGGAGUAAAACAGAGCUGCUCUCUUCUAUCCUUUCCAGCUUCCAACCUCUGUCCAACAUGGAAAAUGCUAGAUUUGCAAAAAAUGCCAGCCAUCUGGAAAUCUCUUAUUCAAGGUAAGGAUCUACAUUCUCCAGGCAAUACACAGAGACUGCCCUUAUGUUGUAUAAUGCUAGUGGUACUAAUUUCUCAUAUUAGAUGUUAAAGACAUUUUAAAUCAUCACCUAUAAGUCAUUGUUUUUGUUUUAUAAAUAGUAAAUCUCUGUUUUACAGGGACUCCUCUCACACACAGUGUGAUGUUGCCUCAGCUUCUGAUAUAGAAAAUUACUGACUGCUUAUGGCAGGCUAGAAAAACUUUCUUUAAAGCUCUUUUUAGCUCUGAUUCUACUGAAAGCAGCGUACAUAACCAUAUAGGCAAUGAUACAUAGCCAAAGCAUAGCCCAAAGUAUUUCCCCAGUUUUAGUCGCUAUGACAUCGCAGCACAACACUUGCUACUGUAAAUCAUCAUUCAUGGUCAACAUCCUACUGCAUGGUCAUGACAGUGGAAAACAAACGCAAAAGUUUAAAUAAGUGCACAUGCUUUCAUUUCAUUUCCAUUAAGAGGUUUUGAACACACGCAGUGAUUACUUCCUGGCUAUACUGGUG
Girardinichthys multiradiatus is the source of this 1699-nucleotide long non-coding RNA. RefSeq lists it as uncharacterized. The record is from RefSeq and is a predicted model, not a curated record. The transcript is spliced from 3 exons. Lineage: Eukaryota; Metazoa; Chordata; Actinopteri; Cyprinodontiformes; Goodeidae.